RNAcentral lists this ribosomal RNA (444 nucleotides) under Ovis aries (sheep). RNAcentral's name for it is "partial 12S ribosomal RNA". The record is from RNAcentral. Lineage: Eukaryota; Metazoa; Chordata; Mammalia; Artiodactyla; Bovidae.
UAUAGGUUUGGUCCCAGCCUUCCUGUUAACUUUCAAUAGACUUAUACAUGCAAGCAUCCACGCCCCGGUGAGUAACGCCCUUCGAAUCACACAGGACUAAAAGGAGCAGGUAUCAAGCACACACUCUUGUAGCUCACAACGCCUUGCUUAACCACACCCCCACGGGAGACAGCAGUAACAAAAAUUAAGCCAUAAACGAAAGUUUGACUAAGCCAUAUUGACCAGGGUUGGUAAAUCUCGUGCCAGCCACCGCGGUCAUACGAUUGACCCAAGCUAACAGGAGUACGGCGUAAAGCGUGUUAAAGCAUCAUACUAAAUAGAGUUAAAUUUUAAUUAAACUGUAAAAAGCCAUAAUUAUAACAAAAAUAAAUGACGAAAGUAACCCUACAAUAGCUGAUACACCAUAGCUAAGACCCAAACUGGGAUUAGAUACCCCACUAUGCU